AUGAGAGUUUGAUCCUGGCUCAGGACGAACGCUGGCGGCGUGCCUAACACAUGCAAGUCGAGCGAAGGGAGUACUACGGUACGAACUUAGCGGCGGACGGGUGAGUAACGCGUGGACAAUCUACCCUGUAGACUGGGAUAACACUGCGAAAGUGGUGCUAAUACCGGAUAAUGUCGAGAAGCGGCAUCGCUUUUCGAAGAAAGGAGGGAAUCCGCUAUAGGAGGAGUCCGCGUCCCAUUAGCUAGUUGGUGAGGGUAACGGCCCACCAAGGCGACGAUGGGUAGCCGGCCUGAGAGGGUGAACGGCCACACUGGAACUGAGACACGGUCCAGACUCCUACGGGAGGCAGCAGUGGGGAAUAUUGUGCAAUGGGGGAAACCCUGACACAGCGACGCCGCGUGAG
This 403-nucleotide ribosomal RNA is filed under the name Thermoanaerobacterium thermosaccharolyticum. RNAcentral's name for it is "bacterial SSU rRNA". It matches the Rfam family "Bacterial small subunit ribosomal RNA", at positions 1 to 405 of the family's 1533-position model. The record is from RNAcentral. Lineage: Bacteria; Bacillati; Bacillota; Clostridia; Thermoanaerobacterales; Thermoanaerobacteraceae.